GUCCAGCUGAUGUGUCCGAAAUAGGAUGGGACGUGCGUCCUGGAU
Non-coding RNA from Schistosoma haematobium, 45 nucleotides. Lineage: Eukaryota; Metazoa; Platyhelminthes; Trematoda; Strigeidida; Schistosomatidae. The record is from Rfam.